AAGUCGUAACAAGGUUUCCGUAGGUGAACCUGCGGAAGGAUCAUUAUUACGUUAUCCAACGUCAAACCCAAUUGUGAAAUGUUAAAAUCCGGGGAUGAAAUGAGAAUAUUUGCGACAAAAGGGUUCAUGUCUUUAAUGGUUGGCUUUUGUCGGUCCUAACAGACUUUCGGGUUUGUUAGCUCAUUUCAUUUCUGUUAACAAUCAAAUUCCCGUCAUGAACAAUUUGUUAUUUUAAAUUUUAACCCCAUGUACAAAACAUUGAACUAAACCUUUGUUCUGAUUAAAUCCUUAAUCAGAUCAGAAAUCUGAAAUUAAGAAACAACUCUUAACAACGGAUAUCUUGGUUCUG
This 349-nucleotide unclassified non-coding RNA is filed under the name fungal sp. RNAcentral's name for it is "partial internal transcribed spacer region". The stretch from base 1 to 46 matches the Rfam family "Eukaryotic small subunit ribosomal RNA", at positions 1786 to 1831 of the family's 1831-position model. The record is from RNAcentral. Lineage: Eukaryota; Fungi.